RNAcentral lists this ribosomal RNA (468 nucleotides) under uncultured bacterium. RNAcentral's name for it is "partial 16S ribosomal RNA". It matches the Rfam family "Bacterial small subunit ribosomal RNA", at positions 28 to 507 of the family's 1533-position model. The record is from RNAcentral.
GACGAACGCUGGCGGCGGGCUUAACACAUGCAAGUCGAACGGAAAGGCCCUGCUUUCGUGGGGUGCUCGAGUGGCGAACGGGUGAGUAACACGUGAGUAACCUGCCCUUGACUUUGGGAUAACUUCAGGAAACUGGGGCUAAUACCGGAUAGGAGCUCCUGCUGCAUGGUGGGGGUUGGAAAGUUUCGGCGGUUGGGGAUGGACGCGCGGCUGAUCAGCUUGUUGGUGGGGUAGUGGCUUACCAAGGCUUUGGCGGGUAGCCGGCCGGAGAGGGUGACCGGCCACAUUGGGACUGCGAUACGGCCCAGACUCCUACGGGAGGCAGCAGUGGGGAAUAUUGCACAAUGGGCGGAAGCCUGAUGCAGCAACGCCGCGUGCGGGAUGACGGCCUUCGGGUUGUAAACCGCUUUCGCCUGUGACGAAGCGGGAGUGACGGUAAUGGGUAAAGAAGCACCGGCUAACUACGUG